Molecule: ribosomal RNA, 424 nt
Filed under: Verrucomicrobiota bacterium
Lineage: Bacteria; Pseudomonadati; Verrucomicrobiota
Description: Verrucomicrobia bacterium partial 16S ribosomal RNA
Rfam family: Bacterial small subunit ribosomal RNA
Source: RNAcentral
UGAGGAAUAUUGGUCAAUGGGCGAGAGCCUGAACCAGCCAAGUAGCGUGCAGGAUGACGGCCCUAUGGGUUGUAAACUGCUUUUAUAUGGGAAUAAAGUGAGGGACGUGUCCCUUAUUGCAUGUACCAUACGAAUAAGGAUCGGCUAAUUCCGUGCCAGCAGCCGCGGUAAUACGGAAGGUCCAGGCGUUAUCCGGAUUUAUUGGGUUUAAAGGGAGCGUAGGCUGUUUGUUAAGCGUGUUGUGAAAUGUAGGAGCUCAACUUUUAGAUUGCAGCGCGAACUGGCAGACUUGAGUGCGCACAACGUAGGCGGAAUUCAUGGUGUAGCGGUGAAAUGCUUAGAUAUCAUGACGAACUCCGAUUGCGAAGGCAGCUUACGGGAGCGCAACUGACGCUAAAGCUCGAAGGUGCGGGUAUCGAACAGG